This 270-nucleotide unclassified non-coding RNA is filed under the name Coneflower phyllody phytoplasma. Its description in RNAcentral is "16S-23S ribosomal RNA intergenic spacer". The stretch from base 104 to 177 matches the Rfam family "tRNA". The record is from RNAcentral. Lineage: Bacteria; Bacillati; Mycoplasmatota; Mollicutes; Acholeplasmatales; Acholeplasmataceae.
AAGGAAACAAUUAUCAUCUUCAGUUUUGAGAGACUUAAGAAAGUUUUUCAUUGUAACUUGCUUACAAAUUGUAUUUGCAACAUUUUAAUCUUUUUAAGAUUAAGGGCCUAUAGCUCAGUUGGUUAGAGCACACGCCUGAUAAGCGUGAGGUCGGUGGUUCAAGUCCAUUUAGGCCCACCAUAACCACAAAUAGGCAAAAUCUUAAAAAAGCUCUUUGAAAAGUAGAUAAACGAAGGUUAAAAAAUCAAAGGAACUAAGGGCGCACAGUGG